UUCCCCUCACAGGUCUACUGUGAGCAAGGCAAACUCCUCACACAGGCUACUUCUCUACCAACACCAGGGGUACAAGGGAGCAGCACAGAGGGCGGAGGAAGCAGGAUAUGAGACAGGCAGGUGGAGGAGGUUCCAGGAGCAAGAGAUCCUGCAGGCAAGAAUAUUGGCAUUCAUAUUGACAUUUCACAUGGAAAGGUGAACUAUUUCUCAACCCACUGUUGAUCAGAAAGCGCGACUGUGGCUCAUGUAAGCAGAACGUGUCAGUUUUCCUAAGUCCUCAUCAGUUGAAUGAUGUUGAGAGUCUCGCCAGAUGCCGGUUAGCCUUAGAGAUGCUCUUUAAAAGGAAGUCUCUGUCUUCAGUCAUCUUCCCAGUGGGUCAUGUGUGCUUUUCUACGUCACGGGAGCCCAUCACAUGACCACCAUCAGGUAGUUGUAGUCGGGCUGGUGUCUCCUUCUUUUUCCCACUGAUCUUUGUCAAGUGCUUAUUUUUGUUUGACCUUUUUGAUCGUAAUGAUGUCUUUUAGAUCUCUGCUUCCAUUUGAGCAGAUUCGUCAAUUUUCCUCUAUGGCUUUAUCUGACUAUUUUUAUUUUGUAGAUACUUCCUGGUGCUGAGAAGGUGAGCCAUUUUGAAGACACUCAUCGUUAAGGAUGUUGUCAUAUGUUAUCAUGAGCCUAUAUUGUCCUCCCAGAGUUAUUCUUGUUCUUUCAUAAUUAGACUGAUGGUGCAUAUAGAAGAUUAAAAUUUUUUCAUACCA
This is a long non-coding RNA of Mus musculus (house mouse), 755 nucleotides long. RefSeq annotates it as predicted gene, 35712. The record is from RefSeq and is a predicted model, not a curated record. NCBI's taxonomy places the organism in Eukaryota, Metazoa, Chordata, Mammalia, Rodentia, Muridae. The transcript is spliced from 3 exons.